RNAcentral lists this ribosomal RNA (59 nucleotides) under Calamus reticulatus. Lineage: Eukaryota; Viridiplantae; Streptophyta; Magnoliopsida; Arecales; Arecaceae. The record is from RNAcentral.
CAUCGAUGGGUGACCCCGGUGCAAUCAUAUCAGCUCUAAUGCACCGGAUCCCGUCAGAC